UUUCUUUGCUGGCGACCGGCGCACGGGUGAGUAACACGUAUCCAACCUGCCCCUUACUCGGGGAUAGCCUUUCGAAAGAAAGAUUAAUACCCGAUAGCAUAAUGAUUCCGCAUGGCUUCAUUAUUAAAGGAUUCCGGUAAAGGAUGGGGAUGCGUUCCAUUAGGUUGUUGGUGAGGUAACGGCCCACCAAGCCUUCGAUGGAUAGGGGUUCUGAGAGGAAGGUCCCCCACAUUGGAACUGAGACACGGUCCAA
RNAcentral lists this ribosomal RNA (253 nucleotides) under uncultured bacterium. Its description in RNAcentral is "partial 16S ribosomal RNA". It matches the Rfam family "Bacterial small subunit ribosomal RNA", at positions 80 to 334 of the family's 1533-position model. The record is from RNAcentral.